RNAcentral lists this long non-coding RNA (227 nucleotides) under Lathyrus oleraceus (garden pea). RNAcentral describes it as "Pisum sativum (pea) long non-coding RNA (PSAT_LNC038133)". The record is from RNAcentral. Lineage: Eukaryota; Viridiplantae; Streptophyta; Magnoliopsida; Fabales; Fabaceae.
CAAACCGCAUUAUGUUACAACCCAAAGUUCACUUAUCCCACAUCCAACCCAAACCUCAAACCUAGUAUGCUUUAACCUUACAAUUACAAAGAAUUUUCUCUUAAUCACACUUAGAGUUUCAAUUUCAACCUUCUUAAAUCUCUCAUAGUAGUAUCACACAUUCUUCUCAUCUUCUUUUCCAUGUAGGUCUCGCCUAUUCUACUCUAAUAAGUCAUCUAUUAUAUUCU